UACGUAGGGACCAAGCGUUGUUCGGAUUUACUGGGUGUAAAGGGCGCGUAGGCGGCUUGACAAGUCACUUGUGAAAUCUCCGGGCUUAACUCGGAACGGCCAAGUGAAACUGUCAUGCUAGAGUGCAGAAGGGGCAAUCGGAAUUCUUGGUGUAGCGGUGAAAUGCGUAGAUAUCAAGAGGAACACCUGAGGUGAAGACGGGUUGCUGGGCUGACACUGACGCUGAGGCGCGAAAGCCAGGGGAGCAAACGGG
This 253-nucleotide ribosomal RNA is filed under the name uncultured bacterium. Its description in RNAcentral is "partial 16S ribosomal RNA". It matches the Rfam family "Bacterial small subunit ribosomal RNA", at positions 524 to 776 of the family's 1533-position model. The record is from RNAcentral.